This 301-nucleotide ribosomal RNA is filed under the name uncultured bacterium. RNAcentral describes it as "partial 16S ribosomal RNA". It matches the Rfam family "Bacterial small subunit ribosomal RNA", at positions 509 to 807 of the family's 1533-position model. The record is from RNAcentral.
CAGCAGCCGCGGUAAUACGUAGGUGGCAAGCGUUGUCCGGAAUUAUUGAGCGUAAAGGGCUCGCAGGCGGUUUCUUAAGUCUGAUGUGAGAGCCCCCGGCUCAACCGGGGAGGGUCAUUGGAAACUGGGAAACUUGAGUGCAGAGGAGGAGAGUGGAAUUCCACGUGUAGCGGUGAAAUGCGUAGAGAUGUGGAGGAACACCAGUGGCGAAGGCGACUCUCUGGUCUGUAACUGACGCUGAGGAGCGAAAGCGUGGGGAGCGAACAGGAUUAGAUACCCCCGUAGUCCCUGUCUCUUAUAC